CUCUCUCUUACUUAUUUUUCACUUUUCCUAUAGCUUCUGUAAUAAGCUCACAUUGUUCUUCAGGUUUUGGUAUGAAGGUGAGCCAAAUAACGCAGGUGGAGAUGAGGACUGUGUUGAACUGAUGCCUUCAGGCACCAUCCGGAGCUGGAAUGAUCUCAAAUGCUCUGAGAAGAGAAAAGGGGCAGUGGAUGGAGUGUUACGUUUCAUCAUAGAGAGUCUAAAGUGAAAAGCAGAACACAGAAAUUUCAUACAUUGUACUACUAGUGGCACCAAACGUUUUGUGAAAUGUUAAUGUUAAACCUUUUAUGUUUGACAUUUUAUUUGUACAGAUGCUUUAUCUUUUCUAAACUUUCCCAAUUAAUUGAACAGUGGAUCAUUAUGGUCCCUUUUAUUUUUGCUAUAUUUAUAUGCUUAAUUUUGAUUAAUAAUUAAUAUUAACAUGUAAAAUACAUUUUUUACAAUACAUAAUUAAAAAUGUUUUAUUGGAUACAGGUGCUCCUCAUUUUGGAGUAACACUGGUGUUCUUCACGGUCAAAAGUGACCGGAGCCCUAAAAUUUUAUUUUUUUCUCCCUCAGCAAAACCAAUGUAAUUUAUUUUUGUUCAAUAAUAUUUUUACUUUUUUAUUUUGUAUUUUGAGAGAAUUUCAUGAUACUAAUUAAUAUUUAUGCAAUAAUUAUGAUCAAUUU
This is a long non-coding RNA of Megalobrama amblycephala (Wuchang bream), 687 nucleotides long. RefSeq lists it as uncharacterized. NCBI's taxonomy places the organism in Eukaryota, Metazoa, Chordata, Actinopteri, Cypriniformes, Xenocyprididae. The record is from RefSeq and is a predicted model, not a curated record. The transcript has 2 exons.